RNAcentral lists this ribosomal RNA (429 nucleotides) under Bacteroidota bacterium. RNAcentral's name for it is "Bacteroidetes bacterium partial 16S ribosomal RNA". It matches the Rfam family "Bacterial small subunit ribosomal RNA", at positions 355 to 776 of the family's 1533-position model. The record is from RNAcentral. Lineage: Bacteria; Pseudomonadati; Bacteroidota.
UAGGGAAUCUUCGGCAAUGGGGGGAACCCUGACCGAGCAACGCCGCGUGAGUGAAGAAGGUUUUCGGAUCGUAAAGCUCUGUUGUUAAGGAAGAACGAGUGUGAGAAUGGAAAGUUCAUGCUGUGACGGUACUUAACCAGAAAGGGACGGCUAACUACGUGCCAGCAGCCGCGGUAAUACGUAGGUCCCGAGCGUUGUCCGGAUUUAUUGGGCGUAAAGCGAGCGCAGGCGGUUAGAAAAGUCUGAAGUGAAAGGCAGUGGCUCAACCAUUGUAGGCUUUGGAAACUGUUUAACUUGAGUGCAGAAGGGGAGAGUGGAAUUCCAUGUGUAGCGGUGAAAUGCGUAGAUAUAUGGAGGAACACCGGUGGCGAAAGCGGCUAUCUGGUCUGUAACUGACGCUGAGGCUCGAAAGCGUGGGGAGCGAACAGG